RNAcentral lists this ribosomal RNA (253 nucleotides) under uncultured bacterium. RNAcentral's name for it is "partial 16S ribosomal RNA". It matches the Rfam family "Bacterial small subunit ribosomal RNA", at positions 524 to 776 of the family's 1533-position model. The record is from RNAcentral.
UACGUAGGGUGCAAGCGUUGUCCGGAAUUAUUGGGCGUAAAGAGCUCGUAGGCGGUUUGUCGCGUCUGCUGUGAAAACUCGGGGCUCAACCCCGGGCCUGCAGUGGGUACGGGCAGACUAGAGUGCGGUAGGGGAGACUGGAAUUCCCGGUGUAGCGGUGAAAUGCGCAGAUAUCGGGAGGAACACCGGUGGCGAAGGCGGGUCUCUGGGCCGAUACUGACGCUGAGACGCGAAAGCGUGGGGGGCAAACAGG